Nicotiana attenuata is the source of this 1017-nucleotide long non-coding RNA. RefSeq lists it as uncharacterized. The transcript has 4 exons. Lineage: Eukaryota; Viridiplantae; Streptophyta; Magnoliopsida; Solanales; Solanaceae. The record is from RefSeq and is a predicted model, not a curated record.
ACCGUUAAUUAGUUUAUCUUUUAGAGGUCCUUUCCCACCAGAAAAACCGGGCGGUUUAGCAGCAGCAACGGUUCAGUUUUCUGAUUUUUAAAUCUUUGAACAUUUUUUGCUGGUAAAUGGGGUAUGUUCAUUCUUCAGUGCGUUCAGUUGCUCAAACAACCGCACAUUCACUGUUUGAAGCUUCGUUUGAGAAGUCGAUGCGCAGUAACACCGCCAAACUUGAAACUCCUUUAUUCGAAGUUGCCGAAAGUUUCAUGAGAAAUGGCCUUUUUAAAGAAGCUCAAAAGGUGUUUGAUUAAAUGUCUGAUAGAAACAGAGGCACAUUGAAUGCAGUUAUUAGAGGGGUCGAUGCAGCCUGGGAAUGUAGAAGGUGCUUAAGGGAUGUAGAAGGUGCUAAAGGGAUUUUUGAAUCUAUGGAGGAUCAAGAUAUGGUGACAUAAAAUUCCAUGAUCCCAGGAUGCCAAUAACGGAUUCUUGGAUGAAGCACUUGAGGUAUUUGCGGGUAUGCCUAUAAAAGACGUAGUUUCUUGGAAGAAUUGGCAAAGAGCUAUUCAGGCAGAUGAGUGACCAGGAUGUCGCAUCUUGCAUUAUUAUGAUGAUUAGUGCUGGGAAAAUUGUUGGGGCAAGGUAAAUGUUUCGGCAACAUGGAAAUAAGGAGGACCUCAGCCUCUGAAUUGGGCAACAAGAAUUAAGAUGGCUAUCGUGCUACUAGAGACCUUGCUUUCCUCCAUGAUGCCAAAGAACUAGUCAUAUAUUUGGAUUUCAAGGCUUCUUAUAUUUUGUGGGAAUCUAAUGCAAAAGCUGUCUAGUUUUGGUUUGGCGAAGGCAGGGCCAACUGGUGAUCUCACUCAUGUAUCUACUUGAGUAAUGGCUACACAGGACUAUGCUGCUCUAGAAUAUGUUGUUACAGGUUUAUAAAUUACCUCUCUCUGGUUAGUUAUACUGAACAUAUAGCAUUGCCUUUUGUUAGAAUUAAAACAUUUAAAAAAUGAUUUCUUUAAUAAUAUAAUCUUGUUA